GAUGAACGCUGGCGGCGUGCCUAAUACAUGCAAGUCGAACGAAGAUCUAGCUUGCUAGAUCUUAGUGGCGAACGGGUGAGUAAUACAUAAAUAAUCUGCCCAUAUGACUGGGAUAACUAUUGGAAACGAUAGCUAAUACCGGAUAGGUUGAUUGGAGGCAUCACUGAUUAAUUAAAGUAGGAUUUCUACACAAAUGGAUGAGUUUAUGGCGCAUUAGUUAGUUGGUGGGGUAACGGCCUACCAAGACGAUGAUGCGUAGCCGACCUGAGAGGGUGACCGGCCACACUGGGACUGAGACACGGCCCAGACUCCUACGGGAGGCAGCAGUAGGGAAUUUUCGGCAAUGGGCGCAAGCCUGACCGAGCAACGCCGCGUGAGUGAUUAAGGCCUUCGGGUUGUAAAGCUCUGUUGUAAGGGAAGAACAUUCAGGAUAGGAAAUGAUCUUGAACUGACGGUACCUUACCAGAAAGCGACGGCUAACUACGUGCCAGCAGCCGCUGUAA
Molecule: ribosomal RNA, 503 nt
Filed under: uncultured bacterium
Lineage: Bacteria
Description: partial 16S ribosomal RNA
Rfam family: Bacterial small subunit ribosomal RNA
Source: RNAcentral